AUGGGUCUCCCGCUUGAGCAGUGGCGCGGCAGCGAGGAGGCGGACAGUGGCGGCGGCAAGCAGGCGGAGGCCUCCGGGUGCAGGACGCCGAGCGGCUCCAAGGCCCGCGCGGCCGCCGACGGGGGCUGCCCCGCGCCUCCUAGGAAGAGGAGGGCCGCGCCCGGGGCCGUCUCGCAGCAGGGCGGCAGGGGCUUCUACGCCGGCGCCGACGUCGAAGCCUUCUUCGCCUCAAACAACCUCUAG
Molecule: ribosomal RNA, 243 nt
Filed under: Triticum aestivum (bread wheat)
Lineage: Eukaryota; Viridiplantae; Streptophyta; Magnoliopsida; Poales; Poaceae
Description: partial small subunit ribosomal RNA
Source: RNAcentral